CCUUGCGCCGGCGACGGUUCAUUCAAAUUUCUGCCCUAUCAACUUUCGAUGGUAAGGUAUUGGCUUACCAUGGUUUCAACGGGUAACGGGGAAUUAGGGUUCGACUCCGGAGAGGGAGCCUGAGAAACGGCUACCACAUCCAAGGAAGGCAGCAGGCGCGCAAAUUACCCAAUCCCGACACGGGGAGGUAGUGACAAUAAAUACUGAUACAGGGCUCUUUUGGGUCUUGUAAUUGGAAUGAGUACAAUUUAAACCUCUUAACGAGGAACAAUUGGAGGGCAAGUCUGGUGCCAGCAGCCGCGGUAAUUCCAGCUCCAAUAGCGUAUAUUAAAGUUGUUGCAGUUAAAAAGCUCGUAGUUGAAUCUUGGGCCUGGCUGGCAGGUCCGCCUCACCGCGUGUACUUGUCCGGCCGGGCCUUCUCUUCUGGAGAACCGCAUGCCCUUCAUUGGGUGUGUUGGGGACCAGGACUUUUACUUUGAAAAAAUUAGAGUGUUCAAAGCAGGCCUUUGCUCGAAUACGUUAGCAUGGAAUAAUAGAAUAGGACGUGCGGUCCUAUUUUGUUGGUUUCUAGGACCGCCGUAAUGAUUAAUAGGGACAGUCGGGGGCAUCAGUAUUCAAUUGUCAGAGGUGAAAUUCUUGGAUUUAUUGAAGACUAACUACUGCGAAAGCAUUUGCCAAGGAUGUUUUCAUUAAUCAGUGAACGAAAGUUAGGGGAUCGAAGACGAUCAGAUACCGUCGUAGUCUUAACCAUAAACUAUGCCGACUAGGGAUCGGGCGGUGUUUUAAUAAUGACUCGCUCGGCACCUUACGAGAAAUCAAAGUGUUUGGGUCUGGGGAG
Molecule: ribosomal RNA, 838 nt
Filed under: Inflatispora caryotae
Lineage: Eukaryota; Fungi; Ascomycota; Dothideomycetes; Pleosporales
Description: SSU rRNA
Rfam family: Eukaryotic small subunit ribosomal RNA
Source: RNAcentral